UACGUAGGGUGCGAGCGUUAAUCGGAAUUACUGGGCGUAAAGCGUGCGCAGGCGGUUUUGUAAGCCAGAUGUGAAAUCCCCGGGCUCAACCUGGGAAUGGCAUUUGGGACUGCAAGGCUGGAGUGCGGCAGAGGAGACUGGAAUUCCUGGUGUAGCAGUGAAAUGCGUAGAUAUCAGGAGGAAUACCGAUGGCGAAGGCAGGUCUCUGGGCUGACACUGACGCUCAUGCACGAAAGCGUAGG
RNAcentral lists this ribosomal RNA (242 nucleotides) under uncultured bacterium. Its description in RNAcentral is "partial 16S ribosomal RNA". It matches the Rfam family "Bacterial small subunit ribosomal RNA", at positions 524 to 765 of the family's 1533-position model. The record is from RNAcentral.